RNAcentral lists this long non-coding RNA (1083 nucleotides) under Meleagris gallopavo (turkey). RNAcentral's name for it is "lncRNA (ENSMGAG00000019286.1)". Lineage: Eukaryota; Metazoa; Chordata; Aves; Galliformes; Phasianidae. The record is from RNAcentral.
AUGUGCUGUGAAGUGCCACAGGAGGGAGGUGUUGCCCGCACCAGAAGUCAUGCAUGCACCUCAGUCCAACGCACCAUGCCUGCACCGGUGCUUGCACUGAGCCACAGCAUGCUGGAGCACAGCAAAACCAUGCAGGAACACUGCAUGCACGUGAGGUGUUACCUGGCUGGCCGUGCAGUUGGAGACGCAGGUCUUGCCAUCGCUGCCCAAGUAGAAGUUGGUGGGACACGCACACUUGUGCCCCCCACCCGGAGACAGAAGGCAGAGGUUGCUGCAGCCGGCGUUGUUGGUUUUACAGGGGUGGUUUGGAACUGGCAAAGUGAGAGGGAGAGAGCUGAGUCAGACCCGGGGGAGGGCCCUGGGUUGUCCCCCAGCUGCAGGUCCCCACUCACAGCACACGUCUGCCUUUGUGUCCCCCUGCUCCCCGCCUGGCACCCCCAGACCCUGUCGGCAUCGUGUGCCCAGUCUGGCCCUCCUGCACUGCUCCUCAGAGCCCCCCAGCUCACCGUCGGGCUGCCGGUACGGGUGGUAGAUGUGGAUGUCCAUGGGGCGGUGCAGAGUGCUGAUCAGCAGCGUCUUGUUGGCACCUGUGGUCUUGUGGGCUCGGUUGAUGGAUUUGGUCUCCCAGUCGGUCCAAUAAAUAUAAUCCUCAAAGAGGGUGAGCGCAAAGAUGUGCGGGAUGUCCUGGCUCAGCACUGCGUGGGGGAGAGGGCAGCUCAGCAAGGGGCAGCUUGCAGACCCCCAACCUGCCUUCAACAGCAGGGUCAGCUCUGCUGGGAGCCAGCAAUGGGAGCUGGGGAUCCCACCCCAAACCCAGACUCCAGCUCAGAACCUCAGGACCCCACUAGUGCCCAGAAGGGCUGCACAGCUCUCACCUGUGUGCCUGUUGGAGCCAUCCAGGCUGGCAAAUUCAAUGUAGUCCUCCCGGGCAUCUGCCCAAUAGAUGCGACUGUUGAUGUAGUCGAGCGUGAGGCCGUUGGGCCACGUUAUCUUGGUGUCAACGAUGACGCUACGGUUAGUGCCAUCCAUGCCAAUCUUCCCAAUCAGCCCCCAGGCGGCUCUGGUCCACGGUGUGCCUGGUGA